Long non-coding RNA from Hemiscyllium ocellatum (epaulette shark), 404 nucleotides. RefSeq lists it as uncharacterized. Lineage: Eukaryota; Metazoa; Chordata; Chondrichthyes; Orectolobiformes; Hemiscylliidae. The transcript has 3 exons. The record is from RefSeq and is a predicted model, not a curated record.
GGCCUGGAGACCAGAGAAACAACAAGAACAGAACGCUGAGGCAGACAGGCAGAAUCUAAUCCGACCCACAGGCACGUGCGCCCACACACGCACCCACAGACACACUUACCCAAUCCCCCACACCACCCAAACACUCCACGGGUCCUGCACCUUGGAAAUGGGCGACCUCAACAUCAACAUCUCACCGUUCGAGAUCUCUUUCCAGAACGUUCCGCACUCCUACGUCCCAGGCACAGCCAUUGAGUGUCACUACACCUUGGGCUGUUCGGUCAAGUGGUCACCCAAGGAUUGGAUCGGUCUCUACAAGAUCAGCAGGAGAUCACUGCGUGACUAUUACACAUAUGUCUGGUCCCCACUUCCACACAGCCAGGAUGGGUCACCUCGCAACUGCUGUGUUCGGUUUG